AUGGACUCAAAUGUCAUGUUUUUCACCGAAACAUGGUUGAACAACAGCUGCCCGGACAAUGCUAUUCAGUUAGCAGGACGCCACACACACCGAGCCGACAGGCUAGCAGAUGACUCCGGCAAGACCAGAGGUGGAGGUUUGUGCAUUUAUAUUAACAAUGCUUGGUGCAUGAACUCCACUACUACUGAGAGUCACUGCUCACCUAAUGCGGAGUUUUUAAUGGUCAAAUGCAGACCUUAUUAUCUCCCCAGAGAACUCACUUCGAUCAUACUCACUGCAGUGUAUAUCCCCCCCGACGCUAAUGCUAGGUUGGCCAUGAAAGAACUUUCUGCAGCCAUUAACAAACACCAGAAUAAACACCCCGAGGCUGCUUUUAUUGUUGCUGGUGACUUCAACCACACCAACUUAAAGACAGUCCUCCCCAGAUUCCACCAACAUGUCUCCUGCCACACCAGAGGAGACAAGACUUUACACCAUGUGUAUUCCAACCUGGCUGGAGCCUACAAAGCAACACCCCUCCCCCACAUUGGACAAUCGGACCGUCUCUCCCUGUUCCUCACACCUAGGUAUUCACCACUCAUCCAACGUGUGAAACCUGCUGUGAGGACAAUUAAAGUGUGGCCAGAGGGGACAGACGCAGUGCUCCAGGACAGAUUUAAAAACACAGACUGGAAUAUGUUCACCCACACAGACCUGGACCAGUACGCCUCAUCUGUACUGGAUUACAUCUCCGAAACCACAGACAGUGUCACCACCCAGAAACGGAUCACCAUGUACCCCAACCAGAAGCCUUGGAUGAACCGGGAUGUUCUUCUCCUCCUGAAGGCCCGCAACACUGCCUUUAGGUCAGGAGAUGCACACGCCUACAGUACAGCCAGGGCUAAUCUAAAGAAGGGCAUCAAAAAAGCCAAACACCAUUACAAAAAGAAGGUAGAAGAACACUUCUCCAACUCCAACCCCCGACGCAUGUGGCAAGGACUCCAGACCAUUACAGACUACAGGACCACCAAACCCUCCCCCGCAUCCUCUGAUGUCUCCUUCCUCAACAAGCUCAACAACUUUUAUGCUCGUUUUGAGCAAGGGAACCCCACAACCACAACCAAAACAGACACGACGCCAGACCACCAACCUCUGACUCUCUCCCCCACCGAUGUAGGACCGGUGCUGAGCAGGAUCAAUGUCCACAAGGCUGCAGGUCCUGAUGGCAUCCCCGGGCGUGUUCUCAGAGCGUGUUCUGGGGAGCUUGCAGGAGUGCUCACUGACAUAUUCAAUCUGUCCUUGGCCCACGCUGUGGUACCGGCCUGCUUCAAAUCCACCUCCAUCGUCCCGAUACCCAAAAACUCCAACCCAUCUAGCCUCAAUGACUACCGCCCAGUAGCACUCACCCCCAUCAUCACUAAGUGCUUAGAGCAGCUGGUCCUAGCACACUCAAAUCCUGUCUCCCCCCCACCCUGGACCCCCACCAAUUCGCAUACCGCCAGAACAGGAGCACAGAGGAUGCAGUCUCCAUCGCACUGCACUCUGUUCUCACACACCUGGACAACAACAACACCUACGCCAGAAUGCUGUUUAUAG
Oreochromis niloticus (Nile tilapia) is the source of this 1575-nucleotide long non-coding RNA. The record is from Ensembl. NCBI's taxonomy places the organism in Eukaryota, Metazoa, Chordata, Actinopteri, Cichliformes, Cichlidae.